GAUGAACGCUGGCGGCGUGCCUAAUACAUGCAAGUCGAGCGAACAGACGAGGAGCUUGCUCCUCUGACGUUAGCGGCGGACGGGUGAGUAACACGUGGAUAACCUACCUAUAAGACUGGGAUAACUUCGGGAAACCGGAGCUAAUACCGGAUAAUAUAUUGAACCGCAUGGUUCAAUAGUGAAAGACGGUUUUGCUGUCACUUAUAGAUGGAUCCGCGCCGCAUUAGCUAGUUGGUAAGGUAACGGCUUACCAAGGCAACGAUGCGUAGCCGACCGGAGAGGGGGACGGCCCACAUGGGAACGGACACAGGGACAAGCCCCCGACGGGGGGCACGAGGCGGAAACUUCCCGGAAGGGGGGAAACCCGGAGGGAGCACCGCGGCGGGGGGAAUGAGGGUCUUGGGAGCAUAAAACUCUUUUAUGGGGGAAAAAAAAAUGGAAAAGAAAAACUGCUCGUUUGGAGGGCACCAAAUAAGAAAGCCCGGCAAAACACGGGC
This 497-nucleotide ribosomal RNA is filed under the name uncultured bacterium. RNAcentral describes it as "partial 16S ribosomal RNA". It matches the Rfam family "Bacterial small subunit ribosomal RNA", at positions 28 to 508 of the family's 1533-position model. The record is from RNAcentral.